Molecule: ribosomal RNA, 253 nt
Filed under: uncultured bacterium
Lineage: Bacteria
Description: partial 16S ribosomal RNA
Rfam family: Bacterial small subunit ribosomal RNA
Source: RNAcentral
UACGGAGGAGGCGAGCGUUAUCCGGAAUUAUUGGGCGUAAAGCGUCCGUAGGUGGUUCACCAAGUCUGCUGUCAAAGGGUGGGGCUUAACCUCAUAAAGGCAGUGGAAACUGGUGAGCUAGAGUGCGGUAGGGGUAAGGGGAAUUCCCAGUGUAGCGGUGAAAUGCGUAGAGAUUGGGAAGAACAUCGGUGGCGAAAGCGCCUUACUGGGCCUGCACUGACACUGAGGGACGAAAGCUAGGUGAGCGAACGGG